UGUGGGAGCGGGCUUGCUCGCGAUGGGCGUCACCCGGUUUGCUGAUAAACCGUGGUGCUACCAUCGCGAGCAAGCCCGCUCCCACG
Molecule: non-coding RNA, 86 nt
Filed under: Pseudomonas psychrophila
Lineage: Bacteria; Pseudomonadati; Pseudomonadota; Gammaproteobacteria; Pseudomonadales; Pseudomonadaceae
Source: RNAcentral